Molecule: long non-coding RNA, 347 nt
Filed under: Brassica napus (rape)
Lineage: Eukaryota; Viridiplantae; Streptophyta; Magnoliopsida; Brassicales; Brassicaceae
Description: long non-coding RNA (BNAP_LNC022675)
Source: RNAcentral
AAACUGGUAAUGUAGAAAUCACUUUAGUAGAAGGAUGCCCAAGUCUACGAUGCCAUAAAACAGUAGGUGAUAAACUAUUCCUGCGAGUUUGAUUUGAUCGUGCAACUGUGACUCCUUUGUAGUAGUAAACCCCCUCUCUCUCUUCACCGGCUCCAAUCAGGAUCCUCGUAAAACAGUCUUGCAAUAAACACAAAGUGUUAGUAGAUAUUGCAAUGCACCCAGUUUGUUUAAGGAGACGAGAAACCGAGAUCAGUGUGCAAUUAAAAUUCGGAACAAACAACACGUUGCUAAGAAAAUAAUCCUUGCUCAACGAUAGAGUGCCGAUCAUUGUAGCUCGAGAGGCUGUU